GACAUGUCUCUUAGGAGGAGUAACGUGAAGCUCAGAAUUAUGGAUGUAUUAAAUACUCCCCAAUAAAAGUGGAAUUGGUCUAUGGUCGAUUCAGUAACAAAUAACUAGGAAUUUCUAGUUGUACCUCGUGAAAACGGACUUCUUUCUUUUUUUUUUUCUUUUGUGGAAUUAAUCAUUUCCUUUCUUUUUAUUUUAGAUUAUUUUAGAAAAAAAUUAUGUUUAUACUCAAGUAAGUAAAUAUGUCAUGGUUGCGAGAGUCUAUACAUCGCAUAUAGGCUUUAAUAGCAUCAUAGCAUAACCGUCGAGGUCAAGUCGAGUUCGGGACCUAAAAGAUCGAAUGGAAGAAGACAUAGAC
This 355-nucleotide long non-coding RNA is filed under the name Populus tremula. RNAcentral's name for it is "long non-coding RNA (PTRE_LNC003489)". The record is from RNAcentral. Lineage: Eukaryota; Viridiplantae; Streptophyta; Magnoliopsida; Malpighiales; Salicaceae.